Molecule: long non-coding RNA, 120 nt
Filed under: Macaca mulatta (Rhesus monkey)
Lineage: Eukaryota; Metazoa; Chordata; Mammalia; Primates; Cercopithecidae
Description: lncRNA (ENSMMUG00000058617.1)
Source: RNAcentral
CAGAUGUCAUUUGGCUGUAUAGUCAAGAAGAUGAGUGGCAAACAAAUCGACACAGACCAAAUGGAACGCCAGAACUUACAGAUCCAGAAGUUCUCACUUUCAGAUGGAGAUUCAUUCUGA